UUCGGCGGGCUCCCUCGCUGGUCCAACAGCUCCUUCGGCGGGCUCCCUUCUUGAUCCAGCGGCCCCCUCCUCAAAUUGGCAGCUCCUCUGGCGAGCUCCCUCUCCGAUCCGGCGCCCCCCUCCUCAAAUUAGCAGCUCUUCCGAUGGGCUCCCUCCGCGAUCCAGCUCCUCCUUCGGCAAGCUCCCUCUCCGACCCGGCAGGCCCCCCUCCUGGAAUUGGAAGCUCCUCCGAUGGGCUACCUCCCUGAUUCGGCGGUUCCUUCGGUAGCAGUGCAACCAUAGCCAUCGCAUCCGUGAAUCGACAUGGUGCCACUACCCAACGAGAUGAGUUCCUCAUGCCUCCACACGCCAGGUACAGAUCUGUUGAUGCCAUGCAGCAGUAGCACCACCACCAAUUGUGAGUUGCUUCCGCCAUCCACAAUCAUCGCCACUGGCCUCCUCGUCCUCGCAUUUUCGACAUGAUCCGGUACCACAUGAUUGCAUUCCAGGAGCUAUUCCAGUCAAAAGAUGAUCUUCUACUCACAAUCAUUCUCUUUUCCAACUUUGUAGCUUGUUUGCAAUUCUAUGUUUUCAUUACUGAAACCUCGGCCUUAUUUUAGAUUGAUGUAAAGAAUUUUGGGCACUCUCUAUUUGUAAGUGUUUGUCAAAAGAAGUGCGAGAUUGGGAAACA
Molecule: long non-coding RNA, 670 nt
Organism: Phragmites australis (common reed)
Lineage: Eukaryota; Viridiplantae; Streptophyta; Magnoliopsida; Poales; Poaceae
Exons: 2
Source: RefSeq, a predicted model, not a curated record